RNAcentral lists this ribosomal RNA (1300 nucleotides) under uncultured prokaryote. Its description in RNAcentral is "partial 16S ribosomal RNA". It matches the Rfam family "Bacterial small subunit ribosomal RNA". The record is from RNAcentral.
GGCAGGCCUAACACAUGCAAGUCGAGGGGUAACAGGGAGCUUGCUCCGCUGACGACCGGCGCACGGGUGCGCAACGCGUAUACAAUCUACCUCUAACUAAGGGAUAGCCCAGAGAAAUUUGGAUUAACACCUUAUAUUAUAUGGAGUCGGCAUCGGCAUUAUAUUAAAGAUAACGGUAAAAGAUGAGCAUGCGUCCCAUUAGUUUGUUGGUGAGGUAAUGGCUCACCAAGACUACGAUGGGUAGGGGGCCUGAGAGGGUUAUCCCCCACACUGGUACUGAGACACGGACCAGACUCCUACGGGAGGCAGCAGUGAGGAAUAUUGGUCAAUGGACGAAAGUCUGAACCAGCCAUGCCGCGUGCAGGAUGACUGCCCUAUGGGUUGUAAACUGCUUUUAUAUAGGAAGAAACCUCUCGACGUGUCGGGAUUUGACGGUACUGUAAGAAUAAGGAUCGGCUAACUCCGUGCCAGCAGCCGCGGUAAUACGGAGGAUCCAAGCGUUAUCCGGAAUCAUUGGGUUUAAAGGGUCCGUAGGUGGAUAAUUAAGUCAGAGGUGAAAAAUUGCGAAGGCAGAUCACUAACACUAUAUUGACGCUGAGGGACGAAAGCGUGGGGAGCGAACAGGAUUAGAUACCCUGGUAGUCCACGCCGUAAACGAUGGAUACUAGCUGUUCGAUCUUCGGACUGAGUGGCUAAGCGAAAGUGAUAAGUAUCCCACCUGGGGAGUACGUUCGCAAGAAUGAAACUCAAAGGAAUUGACGGGGGCCCGCACAAGCGGUGGAGCAUGUGGUUUAAUUCGAUGAUACGCGAGGAACCUUACCAGGGCUUAAAUGCAUUUUGACAGGGGUAGAGAUACCUUUUCCUUCGGGCAAUUUGCAAGGUGCUGCAUGGUUGUCGUCAGCUCGUGCCGUGAGGUGUCAGGUUAAGUCCUAUAACGAGCGCAACCCCUACCGUUAGUUGCCAGCGAGUCAUGUCGGGGACUCUAACGGGACUGCCGGUGCAAACCGUGAGGAAGGUGGGGAUGACGUCAAAUCAUCACGGCCCUUACGUCCUGGGCCACACACGUGCUACAAUGGCCGGUACAGAGAGCAGCCACUUGGCAACAAGGAGCGAAUCUAUAAAACCGGUCACAGUUCGGAUCGGGGUCUGCAACUCGACCCCGUGAAGCUGGAAUCGCUAGUAAUCGGAUAUCAGCCAUGAUCCGGUGAAUACGUUUCCGGGCCUUGUACACACCGCCCGUCAAGCCAUGGAAGCCGGGAGUGCCUGAAGUCCGUCACCGCAAGGAGCGGCCUAGGGCAAG